Long non-coding RNA from Haliotis rubra (blacklip abalone), 533 nucleotides. RefSeq lists it as uncharacterized. The record is from RefSeq and is a predicted model, not a curated record. The transcript is spliced from 5 exons. NCBI's taxonomy places the organism in Eukaryota, Metazoa, Mollusca, Gastropoda, Lepetellida, Haliotidae.
GUGGUGAAUUGCGGGUCGGGUAUGAAAACGACUUUCCGAAUUUGACAAGUUUGAAAACCAAUUUGAGCAAUGCAUCUCCAAGUCUGCUGUGAAGACCAAGUUUGAGCAGCACACUGUGAGCGGCAAAUCCAUCACAUCUGAUGUCAGGGGAAUCAUUGAGCAGGCAUAUACCACAAACCUGCAGUUGAGAACUGAUCAGGAAAACAAGCGACAGGACCGAAAUAAACAACUGGUCGCCAUUGAGAGGGAUCUUUCCUCUCUGGACAUUAACAUUGAGAAAGAGAUCCCGACCAUGGUUGAAGAUGUGAAGAGGGAGGUCGACACAGCGCUGAAUGAGGAGAUCCCCGCUUGUUCUCCUAGUGAAGGAAUAUGACCAAACCUUCGAUGCUGACAAUGUCGAAGAUUACAAUUGGGGAUUGAAUGAACGUGUAGAGCAGGAGGAGAUAGGACGUGGCCUGAAGGAUGCUUUCUUGCAAGGCGUCAACGAUGCUGCAACACGGAUGGCAGGUAAAGGGUGCUAUUUUUCACAGCUG